This is a long non-coding RNA of Xenia sp. Carnegie-2017, 272 nucleotides long. RefSeq lists it as uncharacterized. Lineage: Eukaryota; Metazoa; Cnidaria; Anthozoa; Malacalcyonacea; Xeniidae. The record is from RefSeq and is a predicted model, not a curated record. The transcript has 3 exons.
GACGAUUACGUUCCAGGGAUUCCCCUAUGAUUCCUCAUUUACAUACCCCAUUAUACAUAUUUGACUUAUCACACUGCUACGACAUUACAUCGUGUAACAAAUUUAUUAAGUUUAUUGUGAUACUCUUGGCAUGUCAGUUAAAUAAAAAUAAUUGGUUGAUUGUAAGCGAAUUGAAAAAGACUGCGUUGGCCGGGAAUCGAACCCGGAUCUACUGCUUGGAAGGCAGCAAUGCUAGCCUUUACACCACCAACGCCCAUGUACUCUGGUUGAUA